RNAcentral lists this ribosomal RNA (301 nucleotides) under uncultured bacterium. RNAcentral describes it as "partial 16S ribosomal RNA". It matches the Rfam family "Bacterial small subunit ribosomal RNA", at positions 509 to 807 of the family's 1533-position model. The record is from RNAcentral.
CAGUAGCCGCGGGAACACGGAGGGUGCAAGCGUUAAUCGGAAUUACUGGGCGUAAAGCGUGCGUAGGCGGUUCGUUAAGUCUGUUGUGAAAGCCCCGGGCUUAACCUGGGAAUGGCAAUGGAUACUGGCGAGCUAGAGUGUGUCAGAGGAUGGUGGAAUUCCCGGUGUAGCGGUGAAAUGCGUAGAUAUCGGAAGGAACACCAGUGGCGAAGGCGGCUACCUGGACUGACACUGACACUGAGGCGCGAAAGCGUGGGGAGCAAACAGGAUCAGAUACCCCGGUAGUCCCUGUCUCUUAUAC